GAGUCCCAUAAAAACCUGCUCUGCUCUUGUUUUCUCUACAUGUGAGGGAUGAGCUGGAGCUCAUAAAGAGCCAACUGAGGGCACGCUGAGGUCCUGGGCUCUGUAAAAAGGCUGUGGCUGCAGUGGAACAUAGAGCCCAGACGCCGCCAUGAUACCAAAAAUUAUUGCUGUGUCUCACAGCCGAUUGCCCCGAGUCCAACGAAGAACCACGAGACCCUCGGAACCAGAUUGUUACUGUGGGGGUGGAGGGGGCACAGCAGUUCACCGCUGGACCACCCACAUUCGGAAACGCCUAGCUGUUCCUGAGGCCGAGCUUGGAGAGCGUGGCCGAGAGAGAUUGGCCACUGAUCCCACAGUGGUGCCCAGCAUGCCUCCGAACGGCCCCCCCACAAACAGGCCGACCAGGGAGCCGAGCAAGGCCUCUCUUCUCACCAGUGUGGGCAGCCAGUAUAUCCAGCUCAUCAGCUUCUCCCACAGGCUCCGGAGAAACGACGGCGCAGAGGCGACACUGGUCCGGGGGAAAAUAUCAUCAAUAUCUACGUUCAGGUCACCUACGCUCCUCUCCGCCUCCUCCCGCUCCGCUUCCAUCUCUUCUUCUGUCAUGUUUUCCUCUGACGGGGAGUCAUCCAACCCCUCUCCUCUUCUCUGCCUCACCAGCUCCACCUGCCUCUUCCUCACCCUCUCCUCAGCCUCCUGGUACAGGGGGCAGCUCAGGUGUUGA
This 721-nucleotide long non-coding RNA is filed under the name Mastacembelus armatus (zig-zag eel). RNAcentral's name for it is "lncRNA (ENSMAMG00000028329.1)". The record is from RNAcentral. Lineage: Eukaryota; Metazoa; Chordata; Actinopteri; Synbranchiformes; Mastacembelidae.